CCCUAGUAACUGCGAGUGAAGCGGGAAAAGCUCAAAUUUAAAAUCUGGCGGUCUUUGGCUGUCCGAGUUGUAAUCUAGAGAAGUGUUAUCCGCGCUGGACCGUGUACAAGUCUCCUGGAAUGGAGCGUCAUAGAGGGUGAGAAUCCCGUCUUUGACACGGACUGCCAGGGCUUUGUGAUGCGCUCUCAAAGAGUCGAGUUGUUUGGGAAUGCAGCUCAAAAUGGGAGGUAAAUUCCUUCUAAAGCUAAAUAUUGGCGAGAGACCGAUAGCGAACAAGUACCGUGAGGGAAAGAUGAAAAGAACUUUGGAAAGAGAGUUAAACAGUACGUGAAAUUGCUGAAAGGGAAACGCUUGAAGUCAGUCGCGUUGGCCGGGAUUCAACCUUGCUUUUGCUGGGCGUACUUCCCGGUUAAUGGGUCAGCAUCAAUUUUGACCGUUGGAUAAAGGUWAGGGGAAUGUGGCAUCUUCGGAUGUGUUAUAGCCCUUGGUCGCAUACAACGGUUGGGACUGAGGAACUCAGCACGCCGCAAGGCCGGGUAUUUAUACCACGUUCGUGCUUAGGAUGCUGGCAUAAUGGCUUUAAUCGACCCGUCUUGAAACACGGACCAAGGAGUCUAACAUGCCUGCGAGUGUUUGGGUGGAAAACCCGAGCGCGUAAUGAAAGUGAAAGUUGAGAUNCCUGUCGUGGGGAGCAUCGACGCCCGGACCAGACCUUUUGUGACSGCKCCGCGGUAGAGCAUGUAUGUUGGGACCC
This 754-nucleotide ribosomal RNA is filed under the name Galerina atkinsoniana. Its description in RNAcentral is "eukaryotic LSU rRNA". It matches the Rfam family "Eukaryotic large subunit ribosomal RNA", at positions 78 to 817 of the family's 3401-position model. Lineage: Eukaryota; Fungi; Basidiomycota; Agaricomycetes; Agaricales; Galerinaceae. The record is from RNAcentral.